RNAcentral lists this ribosomal RNA (253 nucleotides) under uncultured bacterium. RNAcentral's name for it is "partial 16S ribosomal RNA". It matches the Rfam family "Bacterial small subunit ribosomal RNA", at positions 524 to 776 of the family's 1533-position model. The record is from RNAcentral.
UACGAAGGGGGCUAGCGUUGCUCGGAAUCACUGGGCGUAAAGCGCACGUAGGCGGAUCUUUAAGUCAGGGGUGAAAUCCCAAGGCUCAACCUUGGAACUGCCUUUGAUACUGGGGAUCUCGAGUCCGGAAGAGGUUGGUGGAACUCCGAGUGUAGAGGUGAAAUUCGUAGAUAUUAGGAAGAACACCGGUGGCGAAGGCGGCCCACUGGAUCGGUACUGACGCUGAGGUGCGAAAGCGUGGGGAGCAAACAGG